UAACACUAAGACUUCAGUGCACGUUGGUUAUUGGGUGGUAAUUCAGCAGAGCAGAUACAAAAUUGAAGGCAAGUUUAUUUACUAGCUAACUAGUGUUUUUGAAUGAUAUCUGAAAACCACAUGUUCUAUAGAUCAGAUGGUCAGAAUAUUCAUAAUUGAUCAAAAAACGGUUUCUCAACCAGUAAUGCACACCACUCAACACAAUUCAUUUCAAACAUUGACUAAAAAUCCAUGAAGUUGACUGAGGAAAAUUCUUUCUAAGUUUCAGGUGAAACAGCAGGAAGCUAUUGGCGCUGGAUGGUCAGCCUUGAAGGCCACUUCAUAUGUGAGGGGAUCCAGCCCACCUUCUUGAUGGGGCUUGCUGCAUUAUUUUCCACCUUCUACACCUGCACGCUCAAAUUAAUCUCAAGGUGCACCGUAGGAAUAAACCCUGAGAGAGGCACCAAGGAUGGACAGGGCAAAGUCUUCUCAAAGAAAACUGGCAAAUUCACGAGCUACAAGACAAGACUACAACCGUAUAUCCACAUGUAUCCACUCUGCUGAUGGGACUCAUGGACUUGAGUGGGACUUCAUUUAAAAUGUCAGCGGGCUACCAAGGCUGGAUUGAGAGUACUGGUGUCUUUGAGUGGGCCAUAAGUCAUUCGCUAACUCACUCCCCCAUUAUCGCCCAAUACUUGGACUUCCACACUUAUCCAUGUGCCUUGUUAGAGCCUGAAUAUUCAUACUUGGACAUGAUGUCACAUGUCUGGUGGUGU
This is a long non-coding RNA of Sebastes umbrosus (honeycomb rockfish), 755 nucleotides long. RefSeq lists it as uncharacterized. The transcript has 3 exons. The record is from RefSeq and is a predicted model, not a curated record. NCBI's taxonomy places the organism in Eukaryota, Metazoa, Chordata, Actinopteri, Perciformes, Sebastidae.